Molecule: long non-coding RNA, 2972 nt
Organism: Equus quagga
Lineage: Eukaryota; Metazoa; Chordata; Mammalia; Perissodactyla; Equidae
Exons: 4
Source: RefSeq, a predicted model, not a curated record
AGUUUCUUCUCUAGUCUAAUUGCAUUGACGAGACUUUCCAAACCGGCCUCCUGGUCCUGCUGCUAACUUUAAUGGAAAUGUUUGUCUCGCUAUUAAGCACAAUUCAGGCUGACGCUUUGACAGAGGUAUUUGUUUUCUCCUAAAGGAAAUAUCUGAAAGGGAUGCUUUUGAAGAGCAUGUCAGGAAAGCCCAGGCUGGUUUGUGUGCCGGCAAGGGGCUGUUGGGCCCCCUCCCCGCGCUGGCCGCACCAGGCCCGGGAGCUAAGUUUCUCCCUGCGUUUCCGCUUGAACAGCAUCCAGCUGCAUCGCCUUUAAAAUGCCAGGGAGGCCACGGCUCCGCUCAGAGCCCCCUCUCGGCGGCCGGCCCGAGCUCGCGCGCGCCGCCGGGGCACUGACUCAGUCGCAGCCCAGUCGCUGCCCGCCGAGCCGGGCCUGGGCAGCGGCCCCCGCGUCCCCUGCGACCCGGCCGAGCCAGGGCCCCGCGAGCGCACGGGACGGCCCUCGCCAGACUCUUCACCUAUUAAAUGGAGAGCGGUGGACUAGAUCCGUGUUUCAAAGUAUGAUCCAAGGAGCCCAAGAAGGUCUAUGGAUGCCCAGAGUGGAAAAUGCACAGCACACCCAAGAUGGUCUUACUGCUGGAUAGGCUGCUGCCAGUACAGGUGUCUGCUCUCUGAGUGAAAGCCCACUGCUCUCAUUGGCUCCCAGCUGAUGUCUGGCUACCCCUCUCUCUCCUAGAGCAGCCCCAACCAGAGUGCCAGCCCACCCAGUGGCCCUUAUGAAGUGGUGACCACUCCCACCAGCAGGGGAUUCCACCAGACUAUUCCCAUUUCCCUCUUCACUUGCCAACAUGUGCUUCUUCAGAUCCAAGGAAUUGCCUUUCCCUGAAUGUCUGUCUCUGCCUGGCCUCCAUAAAUCCUUCUGGAGCAAGGCAUUGUAUAAACAAACAAACAAGUAAGUGGCUCUCACAGCAUCUCGGCUCCUUUCUCCUACCUUCUCUGGUUCAAACACCAAGAACACACGUGAAUUUCAUCUGCCCAAGUUAUCAGCCUGCUUUCUUCCAGGCCCUGGACAGCUGCUAAGUAUAGAAUGGCUUAGUUGGGGCCUACAUUACAGUGACAACAGAGAGCUCAAGCCACAGUUUUCUCCUCAGCCAUCCCAUCUCCUUCCUUCCUUUCCUCAAACCAAAACUUCAGAAAGUGCUUUCCCUCAAUCCAUAGAAGCAUGACUUACGGCCUGCAGUAGGUCUGUCAAGCACUGCAGAAACACUGGAAGCAAAACUAGCAAGAGAAUCAGAAGGCCUGAACUGCAUCCUGGCUUCAUCAGUGUGUGACUUUCAGCAAGUAACCUACCUUCUACCAACCGAAGCUUUUUACUCUAAAAUCAGGGCAAUGAUACCCUACCCAGGGGCCAUUGUGAGUAUAAAAUAAAAUAAUGGAAGUGGACAUGCCUACAACAUGGUUGGCCCCUAGCAGAUAUUCAGUAAAUAUUAGUCAAACUGGGAUUAGAAAGGGUAUGAUGAGGCUGCAGAAAUGGCAGGGGCAAAAUGGGUACUUAUUGAUUAAUUCUGGGUAUCCUUUGCUGCUGUCUUGAGCUCUGCCUACAUCUUCUCUACCAAAUCCACUUUGUUUAAUCAACCAACUAACAAUCACGCUGAGCACCCACUAUGUGACUGGCACACAGUCAGACUGCAGAGGGAUGUAAGGCCUGAAUCCUGCCCUCCAAAAGCUCUGUGAUAGGCUGAAUGAUGGCCCCCAAAGAUAUCAGGUCCUAACCCCUGAACCUGCGAAUGUGAUCUUAUAUGGUAAAGCUUCUGCAGAUGUGACCAAAUUAGGGAUCUUCAGAUGAGGAGAUGAUCUGGGUGGACCCUAAAUGCCAUCACAAGUGUGUCAUAAGAGAGAGGCAGAGGGGGAUUAGACAGACAGGAGGAGGAACAAUGUGAAGAUGGAGGCAGAGAUUGGCGUGAUGUGGCCACAAGUCAAAGAAUGCCAGCAGCCACCAGAAGGUGGAAGAGGCAAGGAAUGGAUUCUCCCCUAGAGCCUCUGGACGGAGUGUGGCCCUUCCCACACUGGAGUUCAGAUUUCUGCCCUCUAGAAUUGUGAGAGAAUAAAUUUCUGUUGUUUUAAGCCAGCAUGUUUGGGGUUACUUGUUACAUGCACCACAGGAAACCAAUGCAAGCCCUUAGUCAAGCAUGAAGACAGCCACGCAUACAAUUAACCAGGAUUCGGUGUUCUAAGUGAGUUGCUAGUGGAGAAGACAGGCAAACUGAUUCUACCUGAGUGACCAGAGAAGGCACUAUUUGGGCUGACCCAGAGUUAAGUCCAGAGGUAUGCAGGCAGCGGAGAAGGCAGGGUUAGGUACUAGAAUGAGGCUCAGUGGUAUGGCCGAAUCGGAUGAGGCAAGAGUGUGAGGCAACAGGGAGCCGUGAGAAGAUGUUGAGCAGAAAAGGAACAGCAGGAAAGCAGACCUGAAGGAUGAUUUUCCAGGUACCAUGAGCAGGAUGAUUGCAGGGGGCUGAGGCAAAAGCUGUUCUAACAAUCCAGGCAUGGUAGGAUGGUGGUGUGGAGCAGGCCAGCUGCACAGACAUGGGAGGAUGCUUUAAAAGGAUGCUCAGCAGGCUGUGCAGAUGGAAUAGGUCCAAGGUUCCACCCUGCACAGCAGAUAGUCAGUGGUACCAAGGGAGGGUCACGGAAGCAGGGGUGACAAUAAGACAUACAAGGGGAGAUUUGCGGUCAGCAGGGAGAGAGCAGGACAUGGAAUGUGAGUGCAGAGGACAGGUGCUCCCUUGCCCUUAGAGGGCAGACAGGUACCACUGAUUCAUACAGUUCAUGUAGGGACCCCCAUUAAGAGGGGCUCAAGAUUCUGGGCCUUCUAAAAAGUAGGGUCUAAAAACAGCAAUGACAAUAAAGAAAACAAUGGGCCAGCCCUGUGACACAGUGGUUGGGUUCAGUACGCUCCAACUUCAGCGGCCCAGGU